Molecule: ribosomal RNA, 687 nt
Filed under: Triticum aestivum (bread wheat)
Lineage: Eukaryota; Viridiplantae; Streptophyta; Magnoliopsida; Poales; Poaceae
Description: partial small subunit ribosomal RNA
Source: RNAcentral
AUGGUAGCAGCCAUGGAGGAAACUUCCAAUGUAGGCUCAGAGGAAACUUUGGCCGUCGUGAGUCCUGCGGGCCAAGCCGCCGUCACAGGGUCGGGCGACGGCACGGACCAUCAGUCCGGUGAACCCGACGCGACGAUUACAAGGCCGCCGCCGCCGUCCCGUAGUAAUAAUUAUGGGGCCGUCGUCAUCGGCGGCACCUUCGACCGCCUGCACCGCGGCCACCACCUCUUCCUCCAGGCGGCGGCGGAGCUGGCGAGGGAGCGGGUCGUGAUCGGCGUCUGCGACGGCCCGAUGCUCGCCAAGAAGAAGUAUGGUUACCUGAUACAACCAAUCGAGACGCGGAUGGAAAAUGUCAAGGAUUAUAUCAAGUCUAUCAAGCCGGAUCUUGAGGUUCAUGUCGAACCAAUCAUCGACCCUUAUGGCCCCUCCAUUGUCGAUGAGGCUCUGGAGGCAAUCGUUGUCAGCAAGGAGACAUUGCCAGGAGCGCAUGCUGUCAACAGGAAGAGGGCCGAGAGAGGCCUCACACAGCUGGAGAUUGAGGUGGUGGAACUAGUGCCAGAGAAGUCUACAGGGAACAAGAUCAGCUCUACAGCAUUCAGAAAGAUUGAGGCCGAAAAGGCACUGCAGCAGCAAAAGCUGGACCAGCAGGAGGAGCAACAAACAGUUCAGCUGGAGUGCAGGACAUAG